UCCGGCUUAGCUCAGUUGGUAGAGCACCUGACUGUUAAUUAGGUUGUCGUUGGUUCGAGCCCGACAGCCGGAG
This is a transfer RNA of 73 nucleotides. It matches the Rfam family "tRNA". Rfam says of the family: Transfer RNA (tRNA) molecules are approximately 80 nucleotides in length. Their secondary structure includes four short double-helical elements and three loops (D, anti-codon, and T loops). Further hydrogen bonds mediate the characteristic L-shaped molecular structure. tRNAs have two regions of fundamental functional importance: the anti-codon, which is responsible for specific mRNA codon recognition, and the 3' end, to which the tRNAs corresponding amino acid is attached (by aminoacyl-tRNA synthetases). tRNAs cope with the degeneracy of the genetic code in two manners: having more than one tRNA (with a specific anti-codon) for a particular amino acid; and 'wobble' base-pairing, i.e. permitting non-standard base-pairing at the 3rd anti-codon position. The record is from Rfam.